Molecule: long non-coding RNA, 616 nt
Organism: Phyllostomus discolor (pale spear-nosed bat)
Lineage: Eukaryota; Metazoa; Chordata; Mammalia; Chiroptera; Phyllostomidae
Exons: 2
Source: RefSeq, a predicted model, not a curated record
UGUCCUCAGUUGAGGAUAAAAAAGUAUAAAAAAUAAGACCAGAACAGUAUAAUAAAGAAAAAACUGGGCCAUUUCUGCCUGUUAUAAAAUUAUAAUAUAAAGCAUUAACAAAAAUUCAGUUGUAUGAGAUCAUAUCAUGAUCAGGUAGACUUUUAUAGGAAAUACAAGGAUGGAUGGUUUAGCAUUUAGCAGCAUAUUAAUAUAACUAAUUUCAUUAACUGAUAUAAAAAAUUCUUCCAUUCUCUAAAGAUGUGAAAAACAUUAAUCAACUUCAAAAUCAGUUCCUGAUUUUUAAAGGCUCUUAACAUAUUACAAAUAGGACAAAACUGAUUAAACAGAUAAAAAGUCAUAAAGGUAAAAUAUACAUUGCACUAAAAGUGGAAGAAACAUUAGCAUUGCCAUUAAUACUCAAAGCAGCACAAGUAUAUCUCAAUAAUUUCAGAUGUCCAAUAUUAUAAUGAAUAAUUGAAUAAAACAAUAAUGUAGGAAAAAUCAGUUAUGAAGAUUUGAAAGGAAGAAACAAAACUGUCUUUAUUUUUGUCUUAGAAUGUCCAAGACAAUAAACUAUUAGAAAAAGGACAAAUUCAGCAAAAUAUCUGGAUUCAAAGUCAAUACA